This 3289-nucleotide long non-coding RNA is filed under the name Sus scrofa (pig). RNAcentral describes it as "lncRNA (ENSSSCG00000053957.1)". The record is from RNAcentral. Lineage: Eukaryota; Metazoa; Chordata; Mammalia; Artiodactyla; Suidae.
CCUGGGAACUUCCACAUGCCCUGGGUGCAGCCCUAGAAAAUAAGAGGGGGAAAAAAAAAAAAAAAAAGACCUGGGGAAGCUAGAUGGGCUUUCGUGUUUCCUUGAGUAUAAUGGGAAAACAAGCUUCAGAGAAUCACUAUAUUUAAAAAAAUUUUUUUUUCGCUUUUGCUUUUUAGGGCUGUACUCUUAGCAUAUGGAAGUUCCCAGGCUAGGGGUCCAAUCAAAGCUGUAGUUGCCGGCCUAUGGCACAGCCAUAGCAGCACAGGAUCUGAGCCACAUCUGUGACCUAUCCCACAGCUCAUGGCAACGCUGGAUCUUAACCCCCUGAGUGAGACCAGGGAUCGAACCCAUAUCCUCAUGUAUAUUAGUCAGGCUCAUUUCUGCUGAGCCACAACGAGAACUCCUAAAUUUUUUUUAAUUGAAAUACUGUUGAUUUACAAUGUUGUGUCAAUUUCUGCUGUAUAGCAAAGUGACCCAGUCAUGCAUAUCUUGCUGUUGUACACAUAGCAAGACACUGUGCCCCAAAAACUCACAAGAGCAGCCCCUGAGUUAGUGUCCCAAUAUUUAUGAAAAACGCCCAAAAUGGUUAAUAAAAACUAAGCUCUGGAAUCCCCAGGCUGCCUAGCAGUUAAGGAUCCUGGGUUGUCAUUGCUGUGGCUCAGUUUUGAUCCCUAGCACAGGAAUUUCCCCAUGCCACGGGUGAGGCCAAAAAAAAAAAAAAAAGUAAGCUCAGCUUAUAUUUAUCCUAAAAGAAAAUAAAGCUUCUCCCUCUCUCCUCUACAUACUCUAUACAGUACAUAUAUAUAUAUAUACUAUAAGGUAAGGGUCCAAUUUUAUUCUUUUGCCUGUGAAUAUUCAGUUAUGAUCAGUAACUUUUCACCAUUUCACCAUGUGCUACCCUACUAAAGUCAAUCUGCCUGGAAAGGACAAAAGAGGACAGGAUGACAUAGAAUUCUUUCACAAAUUGUAUUCUAAUGUUUCUUUUCCUAGCUUCAUUACAGACACUCCUAAGCCCUCCAUGUAACAUUAUUAAAUAAAUAGUAGUAGUACAUUUCAAAAGCUACUAUAGAAUUGAAAAUAGAAGCAUUCCUAUUCUUCUGACCAAAAAGAAAAUUGUCACUAGGUUAUACUCAGACAUGACCAGCUUUGUAAUAGGACAUAAUUUUUGUAUUAAGGUCAGCUUCCUAUGUGAAAAAAUCCUAAUUUGAGCACAAACUAUAGAAAAAGACAAAGCUUGAGUAAUUUUUCAAAUGGAGAGAAUAGUGUAUCUAGGGUGAAAAAAAAAAUAAAGAGAGAAAGGGAACACAAGGAAAAAGAGUAAAGCCAGGUGAUGUACUGAAACUGCAGAACUCCUGGUGGGUCUUGAACCCACAGGCUGUGACUUGACCCCAGCCAAAACCCACAGUAGGACUUGACUACUGCCUUUUUUUUUUUUUUCUUUUUUAGGGCCAUACCUGCGGCAUUUGGAUGUUCCCAGGCUAAGGGUCAAAUCAGAGCUACAGCUGCCCCCCACAGCCAUAGCAACACCAGAUCCUUAACCCACUGAGUGAGGCCAGCGAUAGAACCUGCAUCCUCAUGGAUUUUAGUCAGGUUUGUUUCCACUGCACCACAACAGAAACUCCCCUGACCACUGUCUUUUAAUUGAAAUCACACACCUGGUCUCAGGACUCACUGAAGUUGAGGUUCUUUAUAUCUCAGUGCAGAAGGAAUUCAUGAGAGGCAAAGUGAUAGGAAAGAAGUUGCUUUAUUGAGAGAGAUACACACUCCACAGACAAAGUGUGGGCUCUUAGAAGGUGAGAGUGGCUCUGAGAGACAUCCCACUGACAGAGUGUGGGCUGUCUCAGAAGGUGGUGAGAUUUUAUGGGCUGAGGAAUUUCAUAAGCUAAUGAGUGGAAUUUCAUAGGCUAAUUUCAUAGGCUAAUGGUUAUUCCAGCUAUUUCAGGGAAGGGGAGGGGAUUUCUGGGAAUUCACUUCUGGGCCUUUAAUGGUUGGCCUGGGAACUCUCAUGGCGCCUGUGGGCAUGUCAUUUAGCUAAUGUAUUGCAAUGAGCAUAGAAUGAGGCUCAAGGUCUAAGAGAAGUCGAAUCUUCUGCCAUCUUAGAUCUAGUUGGUUCUAAGGGGUUUUUGUCAUACCCUCAACGUCUACAUCAUACUUUUAAAGGCUGUGCCCUGCCCCCUUCCCUCCUGUUUCACUGCGAGCCCUCAAAUUCUGAGAGAGGGUAAGAUACAAAUUGUAGCCAAAAUAAGAAAGUAGUGAGUAAAUUCAUAUAUAACAUAAGAAUACUCCUAGAAGCUUUGUCUUUUUGCUCUCCAAGUUAAUUGGUUUGAUGAAAGACUGACUCCUUGGAGUUCCCAUUGUGGUUCAGCAGGUUAAGAACCCAACUGAAACUGACAGCACUAGGGUCGAAUCGGAGCUGUAGCUGCCGGCCUACACCACAGCCACGGCAACACUGGAUCUGAGCCACGUCUGCAACCUACACCUCAGCUCACAGCAAUGCUGGAUCCUUAACCCACUGAGCAAGGCCAGGGACUGAACCUGCAACCUCAUGGUUCCCAGUUGGAUUCAUCAACCACUGAGCCAUGACGGGAACUCUGAGCAGUUUUUAACUUAUAGUGAUCUCCCAGUGUCCCCUUAAUUUCCUUCUUUAACUAUGGUCCUUUAUCAGGACUUCUACAGCCACCUGUGCCUACUCCAUCCCUAUCACAACUAGUAUCCAUGAGGAUGUGAGUUUGAUUCCUGGUAUUGAUCAGUGGGUUAAGAAUCCAGCAUUGCCGCAAACUGAGACAUAAGUUGGAGAUAUGGCUUGGAUUUGACAUUGCUGUGGCUGUAGCUGUGGCUGUGGCCUGCAGCUGUAGCUCCAAUUAGACCCCUAGCCUGGAACUUCCAUAUGCUGCAGGUGCAGCCCUAAAUAGAAAAAAAAUAAAAAGACUGACUCCUUAAGUAAAAUUUGGAUUAUUUCAUCAUUGUCCUAAUUCAGCAGGUUUUUUUAGACUUCAGUAAACAUUUGUCUGGGGUUGGGUUUAAAUUGUAGAGACAAUUAUUUCCUGCCCUCUUGGGUUUAAGUACAAUCUAUUCAUCCUGUAUGCAGAUAGGGUAGGGGAUCCCCAGAAAACAAAACAAAACAAAACAAAACAAAACAGGCAUGGCUUUCUUGACAUGCGAGUAGCCAUUUUUGGCCUAAGCCAUUUUGUGUGCUACGUCUGGCCAUAAUGUUUGUCCUUGAACAGGUCUCAAUAAUUAAUGCUCUUAAGGGAACAAAAGAAUGCAAAACAAAUGACUGUUAUCAGGC